UUUGUGACCUGGUCCACUACCC
Molecule: microRNA, 22 nt
Filed under: Macaca mulatta (Rhesus monkey)
Lineage: Eukaryota; Metazoa; Chordata; Mammalia; Primates; Cercopithecidae
Description: mml-miR-758-3p
Gene: mml-miR-758-3p
Source: miRBase by way of RNAcentral